RNAcentral lists this transfer RNA (73 nucleotides) under Actinomycetales bacterium. Its description in RNAcentral is "tRNA-Val". It matches the Rfam family "tRNA". From Rfam's summary of the family: Transfer RNA (tRNA) molecules are approximately 80 nucleotides in length. Their secondary structure includes four short double-helical elements and three loops (D, anti-codon, and T loops). RNAcentral also lists the same sequence under 2 other names. Lineage: Bacteria; Bacillati; Actinomycetota; Actinomycetes; Actinomycetales. The record is from RNAcentral.
GGGCGAUUAGAUCAGUUGGUAGAUCGCCUCCUUCACACGGAGGAAGUCGUCGGUUCGAGUCCGGCAUCGCCCA